RNAcentral lists this ribosomal RNA (253 nucleotides) under uncultured bacterium. Its description in RNAcentral is "partial 16S ribosomal RNA". It matches the Rfam family "Bacterial small subunit ribosomal RNA", at positions 524 to 776 of the family's 1533-position model. The record is from RNAcentral.
UACGUAGGGUGCGAGCGUUGUCCGGAAUUACUGGGCGUAAAGGGCGCGUAGGCGGCCUUCUAAGUCGAACGUGAAAUCCCCGGGCUCAACCCGGGAACUGCGUCCGAUACUGGAAGGCUUGAAUCCGGGAGAGGGAUGCGGAAUUCCAGGUGUAGCGGUGAAAUGCGUAGAUAUCUGGAGGAACACCGGUGGCGAAGGCGGCAUCCUGGACCGGCAUUGACGCUGAGGCGCGAAAGCCAGGGGAGCAAACGGG